Molecule: RNA transcript, 1865 nt
Organism: Ostrea edulis (European flat oyster)
Lineage: Eukaryota; Metazoa; Mollusca; Bivalvia; Ostreida; Ostreidae
Exons: 3
Source: RefSeq, a predicted model, not a curated record
UUAUCUCUCUCAACUGAUUCAAUACACAAGAGCUUGUAGUGCGUAUGAUCAGAUUUUAAAUCUAGGCAGGCUACUGACAAAGAAGUUGAUGUGAUAAGGGUUUGAACAGUAUCGAUUGAAGUCAGCAUUUAAAGCCUACAUUUCGCAAAUUCUAUUUGUCAUUAUAACGAUCAUGUUUGCCAAUACAACCUGUCAUUGAUUGAAAUGCUGUCUCAUAUGCGUGUUUCAUAUCAAUUGUUAAGGUGGUCUUUACACACUACAGAUUACUCCGUUUAUAUUACCUAAUCAAGACAUAGAGCUCACGGCGGGUGUGAACGGUCGACAGGGAAAGCUUACUCAUCCUAGGUACCUGACCCCACCUCUGGUAUAUCCUGAGUUCCGCGUUUGUCCAACUCUUAAUUUUACAUUCCUUAUGAAAGGUGAAGAUAACUAACAGUGAUCAAUCUCAUAGUGGUGAAAGUUGACCACUAGAAUCCCAUCCUCAAAAUUGCAGUCCCCAUGGUAGGGAUCUUAGAUGCUUCCGAAUCCGAUGUUUAUAUUCACUUAGAUGAGUAAAAAUCGGAGGGGCGGGUCGCCAAACCACAAAGGGGUACCAUCACCGUUUUUUCACAUUGAUGGCAGCCAGUUUACCAAUAGACCCUGCCUUCUAAUUUUCAGUUCACGGGGUAGGUGUCCUCGAUGUUUCCAAAUCCGAUGUUUAUUCGCCACGUAUGCAAUGAGUAAAAGAUGGAGGGACGAAUCUCCAAAACAGGAGAGGGUACCAUCGCCAUUUCAUUUCAAAGCGGGGGUAGUUGACCACUAGAACUGCAACUUCAAAUUUCAGUCUGUAUUUCUAUUUCAUGCAUAUAUAAAUUUUAAUUGCGACCUACCAUCUAGAAUGUAGUUCACUAUUGAAUUGCGAAAUGCAAACUGCAAAAGUUCUGCUUUCGAAAUCUAAUUUCCCUUUUGACAGGCUAUUAUGUACUUUUUCCGCUUUGUUGGAUAACGUACUGUAUGGAUAAUUAGGAUUGGUAUGAAAUAGAGCAUGAAACUUCCGUAUGUAAAGUAUCGAUAUCAUUGUUGAUUUAAAGCACCAUGUUCACCACACAAGAAAAAUUGACGACCAUAGCUCUAUUUUUUCUUAUUAUUGGAUUUCUGUUCACUACUGUGGCAUUUUCGACCACGGGUUGGUUGGAACUACUUCACAAAGGUCGUAAAUUCCACAUUGGUUUGUGGCGAGUUUGUGAACGGCGGUGUUACAACCUUGAUGGGAUAGUAUUAAGUAAAUUGAUGGGGUUAUGUGCAGACCACUGGCUGUUUGGGAUUGGUAGGAACACUGUGUGCUACCAUUUUCACUGCUCUGUGUAUCUAUGUAGAGCGGUUUCAGUGGAACAACAAACUCCUUAGAUUCGCAGCCAUCGUGACCAUACUAACAUGGAUAAUGGAAGUCUCGGGAUGCGUGACGUUUGUUGUGUCGUGGAUACGUACAUCGCCUGACUAUGGAGCGAAUGAUGAUCUUUUUUAUCUUGGACUACCCACACUGACCACUGACAGAACGGACUUGUCCUAUAGUUUAGUUUUUGCCAUUCUUGGUGCUCAAUUAACUCUUGUUGGCGGCAUAAUGUUAUUUCACGUGCUGCAGAAGAUAGAAGAAUGUUCAAAAGAAACGAUUCGUGAGGGAUCUGGGUCCACUUCCUUUACACCCGAAACACGAGCAUCAUGAAUCACAACCGAGUGGCUUUCAUAUCGUUAACAUGAACCAAAUCCCUUAACUGUCAAAACAUCGCCGUUGAGCCUACUUAUAGUAGAGUGCCAUUAGAAAUGAAAACAUUUUAUGGAAUUGUGAUUUUCAUGUUGAAAAAAUAAAGCAGAUUUAUUUAAUAUUU